UACGAAGGGUGCUAGCGUUGCUCGGAAUCACUGGGCGUAAAGCGCACGUAGGCGGAUCUUUAAGUCAGGGGUGAAAUCCUGGAGCUCAACUCCAGAACUGCCUUUGAUACUGGGGAUCUCGAGUCCGGAAGAGGUGAGUGGAACUCCGAGUGUAGAGGUGAAAUUCGUAGAUAUUCGGAAGAACACCAGUGGCGAAGGCGGCUCACUGGUCCGGUACUGACGCUGAGGUGCGAAAGCGUGGGGAGCAAACAGG
Molecule: ribosomal RNA, 253 nt
Filed under: uncultured bacterium
Lineage: Bacteria
Description: partial 16S ribosomal RNA
Rfam family: Bacterial small subunit ribosomal RNA
Source: RNAcentral